AGCUGGCAUGGUACUGCCCGUAAACUAUAGUGCCUGAACCAAUGCCUGUGGAAAUCAGCCUUCAGUCACCUUUGGAUCACCCAUACCCAACACCCAUAUUCCAGCCCUGAAAGAGACCCAAGUGCUUUGCUGGACAGAGAGGGUUUGCUGAAUCAGGACCUAAUAGAAUGCAUCAGAACCAGACAUAAAGCAGUUUAUGGGAGCUGGAAACAUGUCCCGGGGAGAAUCAAUCACAAAACCUAUUGUUCUCCCAUCCAAACAUUGACCCAAGAUCUGAGAGGACCACAGCACAAA
Mauremys reevesii (Reeves's turtle) is the source of this 294-nucleotide long non-coding RNA. RefSeq lists it as uncharacterized. The record is from RefSeq and is a predicted model, not a curated record. NCBI's taxonomy places the organism in Eukaryota, Metazoa, Chordata, Testudines, Geoemydidae. The transcript is spliced from 3 exons.